RNAcentral lists this ribosomal RNA (468 nucleotides) under uncultured bacterium. RNAcentral describes it as "partial 16S ribosomal RNA". It matches the Rfam family "Bacterial small subunit ribosomal RNA", at positions 28 to 507 of the family's 1533-position model. The record is from RNAcentral.
GACGAACGCUGGCGGCGUGCUUAACACAUGCAAGUCGAACGGAAAGGCCCUGCUUUUGUGGGGUGCUCGAGUGGCGAACGGGUGAGUAACACGUGAGUAACCUGCCCUUGACUUUGGGAUAACUUCAGGAAACUGGGGCUAAUACCGGAUAGGAGCUCCUGCUGCAUGGUGGGGGUUGGAAAGUUUCGGCGGUUGGGGAUGGACUCGCGGCUUAUCAGCUUGUUGGUGGGGUAGUGGCUUACCAAGGCUUUGACGGGUAGCCGGCCUGAGAGGGUGACCGGCCACAUUGGGACUGAGAUACGGCCCAGACUCCUACGGGAGGCAGCAGGGGGGAAUAUUGCACAGUGGGAGGAAGCCUGAUGCAGCAACGCCGCGGGCGGGAUGACGGCCUUCGGGUUGUAAACCGCUUUCGCCUGUGACGAAGCGUGAGUGACGGUAAUGGGUAAAGAAGCACCGGCUAACUACGUG